UACGAAGGGGGCUAGCGUUGCUCGGAAUCACUGGGCGUAAAGGGUGCGUAGGCGGGUCUUUAAGUCAGGGGUGAAAUCCUGGAGCUCAACUCCAGAACUGCCUUUGAUACUGAGGAUCUUGAGUUUGGGAGAGGUGAGUGGAACUCCGAGUGUAGAGGUGAAAUUCGUAGAUAUUCGGAAGAACACCAGUGGCGAAGGCGACUCACUGGCCCAAUACUGACGCUGAGGCUCGAAAGCGUGGGGAGCAAACAGG
RNAcentral lists this ribosomal RNA (253 nucleotides) under uncultured bacterium. RNAcentral describes it as "partial 16S ribosomal RNA". It matches the Rfam family "Bacterial small subunit ribosomal RNA", at positions 524 to 776 of the family's 1533-position model. The record is from RNAcentral.